AAAUCUUCCCAGGGUUAGUCGGGUCCUAAGGCGAGGCCGAGAGGCGUAGUCGAUGGCAAUCGGGUUAAUAAUCCCGAACCGCAAAUAACGCGUUAUUACCGAUGGGGUGACGCAUGGAGCAGAAUUUAGCCACUGAUGGAUGUGGCGGAUUGCGCGUAAGAUGUACAGGUGGCAAAUCCCCUGUACGCAUAUCUGAGACGCAGGACCUUUUGAGGGCUUUGGCCCAAAGAAGAGUAAUUCCGGUCUGUGCCAGGAAAAACCUCUAAGGGAGUUUUAUUUGUGCCCGUACCGUAAACCGACACAGGUAGACGAGGCGAAUAGCCUAAGGUGCUCGAGACAACUCGGGAGAAGGAACUCGGCAAAUUAACCCCGUAACUUCGGGAUAAGGGGAGCCUCCAUUUGUUAGUGUGAACAGCACAAAGCAUAAGGAGGCCGCAGAGAAAUGGCAGAAGCGACUGUUUACCAAAAACACAGGGCUAUGCAAACCCGUAAGGGAAAGUAUAUAGUCUGACACGUGCCCGGUGCUGGAAGGUUAACAGGAGAUGUCAGCGCAAGCGAAGCAUUGAAUCGAAGCCCCAGUAAACGGCGGCCGUAACGAUAACGGUCCUAAGGUAGCGGAAUUCCUUGUCGGGUAAGUUCCGACCUGCACGAAUCGUGUAACGACUUCUGCACUGUCUCCUCCCGGGACUCGGCGAAAUUGCAGUGUCGGUGAAGAUGCCGACAACCCGCACCUGGACGGAAAGACCCCAUGAACCUUCACUGUAUUUUGACAUUGGUUUUAGGCUUGACAUGUGUAGGAUAGGUGGGAGGCUUUGAAGCGGUGACGCCAGUCAUCGUGGAGCCAUCCUUGAAAUACCACCCUUGUCCGGUUUGAGAUCUAACCGUGGCCCGUCAUCCGGGUCCGGGACCGUGUCUGAUGGUCAGUUUGACUGGGGCGGUCGCCUCCUAAAUGGUAACGGAGGCAUCCAAUGGUUCCCUCAGCGCGGUCGGUAAUCGCGCGUAGAGCAUAAAGGCAUAAGGGAGCUUGACUGCGAGACAGACAUGUCGAGCAGGUACGAAAGUAGGGCUUAGUGAUCCCGCGGUACAGCGUGGAACGGCCGUUGCUCAAUGGAUAAAAGGUACUCUGGGGAUAACAGGCUGAUCUCCCCCAAGCGUUCAUAGCGACGGGGAGGUUUGGCACCUCGAUGUCGGCUCGUCAUCCUGGGGCUGGAGAAGGUCCCAAGGGUUUGGCUGUUCGCCAAUUAAAGCGGCACGCGAGCUGGGUUCAGAACGUCGUGAGACAGUUCGGUCCCUAUCCGGUGUGGGCGCACGAAAUUUGAGGGAACCUGUCCUUAGUACGAGAGGACCGGGACGGACGCACCUCUGGUGUACCGGCUGUCACGCCAGUGGCAUUGCCGGGUAGCUAUGUGCGGAUUGGAGAAACGCUGAAAGCAUCUAAGCGUGAAGCCAUUCCCAAGAUUAGAUUUCGCGGGGGCAACCCCCUAAAGGAUCGUUAGAGACCAUAACGUUGAUAGGUCACAGGUGUAAGCAUAGCGAUAUGUUGAGCCGAGUGAUACUAAUAGUCCGUGAGGCUUU
RNAcentral lists this ribosomal RNA (1575 nucleotides) under metagenome. Its description in RNAcentral is "bacterial LSU rRNA". It matches the Rfam family "Bacterial large subunit ribosomal RNA", at positions 1366 to 2925 of the family's 2925-position model. The record is from RNAcentral.